This 491-nucleotide ribosomal RNA is filed under the name Bursina ignobilis. RNAcentral's name for it is "partial 16S ribosomal RNA". It matches the Rfam family "Bacterial large subunit ribosomal RNA", at positions 1845 to 2598 of the family's 2925-position model. Lineage: Eukaryota; Metazoa; Mollusca; Gastropoda; Littorinimorpha; Bursidae. The record is from RNAcentral.
AUAAGGAGUCGGACCUGCCCAGUGAAACAUUUUAAACGGCCGCGGUACUCUGACCGUGCAAAGGUAGCAUAAUCAUUUGCCCUAUAAUUGAGGGCUAGUAUGAAUGGUUUGACAAGAAUAAAGCUGUCUCUAUGUAAUUACACAGAAUUUUAUUUUUAGGUGAAGAAGCCUAAAUUGUAUUAAAAGACAAGAAGACCCUAUCGAGCUUUAAAGAAAUUGAUAAAGUAUAAUAAAUAUUAAUUAAAAUAAAUUUUAUUGAAAAUUUUGGUUGGGGCGACAAAGGAACAAACAAAGCUUCUUCUAUGAUAACAAAACCUACAAGUAUUGAUCCAAAAACUUUUGAUUAAAGAAAUUAGUUACCGUAGGGAUAACAGCAUUAUCUUUUUUGAGAGCUCAUAUCGAAAAAAAGGUUUGUGACCUCGAUGUUGGACCAGGAUAUCCGGAAGAUGCAGAAGUCUCAAAGGUUGGUCUGUUCGACCAUUAAAAUCCUA